RNAcentral lists this long non-coding RNA (2603 nucleotides) under Brassica napus (rape). RNAcentral describes it as "long non-coding RNA (BNAP_LNC016815)". Lineage: Eukaryota; Viridiplantae; Streptophyta; Magnoliopsida; Brassicales; Brassicaceae. The record is from RNAcentral.
UUCAAUUUGGAAAAUGAACCUCAAUUCAAUUCGGAAAACAUAACUUUGCAAUAUAUAUAUCUAUAUUUAAAAACACAUGAAAAUGGACAUUUUGAACUUUUGAAGACAUGAUAAUAUAUAAUAAUAUAUAACACACUAUAUAUAAUGAUUGAGUGUUGAUCAUAUAAGUUAAUCUCAUGGUGUAGCAAUGACCAUGAUCCCUUCACCUGAGGAGAUUCAGAAGCUUCUAUUUAAACUCAACCCCAACAAAGCACCUGGACCUGAUGGACUAACUUCCGACUUCUACAAGUCAUCUUGGAGCUUUCUCGGGGUGGAGGUUCUCUCUUCGAUCACCCACUUCUUCCAGUACUCUUUCAUGCCAGUUUCUACAAAUUCAACAAUCCUUGCAUUGGUCCCUAAACGGCCAGGAGCUUCUGUCAUCUCUGAUUUCCGCCCUAUAAGCUGCCUCAACACACUAUACAAGGUCAUCGCCAGACUUCUUGUCAGAAGGAUUAAGCCGAUACUGCCAGAGCUGAUUGUCCUUAAUCAGACAGCGUUUGUUAAAGGCCGGCUCAUAGUAGAGAAUACAGUCCUUGCGGGAGAGCUUGUCAACGGCUAUCAUCGAAAGACAGGGCCCAAAAGGAUAACUAUAAAGGUUGAUACAGCCAAGGCCUUCGACACCCUCUCGUGGGAAUUUCUUUUCGACUGCCUUGACGGUCUGCAACUUCCAUCAGUGCUAAUCACAUGGCUGAGAGCUUGCGUUUGCACUCCUAACUUCACCAUUGGUUAUAACGGUAGAGUGCAUGGUUACUUCAAAGGAAAGCGUGGACUGAGACAGGGUGAUCCCCUAUCUCCCUAUCUCUUCGUCAUCGCAAUGAACAUGCUCUCUCUCAUGUUGAAUAAGGCUGCAGCGGACUUGAAGAUUAAAUAUCAUCACAAAUGCAGCAGGUCCAAGCUUACUCAUUUAUGUUUUGCAGAUGACCUUCUCAUAUUCAUGGAUGGUUCACUCAGCUCAGUGCAGAAUGUCCUUCAAGUACUCAAAGAGUUUGAACUGUGGUCUGGCCUAGCUGUAAGUGUGCAGAAAUCUUCAUUUAAUGCCUCUGGACUAUCGCAGCAGGAAAUAAAUGUCAUCAAGGUGUCAACAGGAAUGGCUAACGGAACACUCCCAGUUCGUUACCUUGGAGUUCUAUUCUGCAGAAAGAAGUUAACAACAUCAAAUUGUGAGGUUUUGAUUCAGCAAGUUAAAUCAAAGUUUACAUCAUGGACUGUUAAGACCCUUUCCUUUGCUGGGAGGCUUCUCUUAAUAAAAACGGUCAUUGCGGGAAUCACUAACUUCUGGUGCUCAACAUUUGUACUGCCUAAAGCUGUAGUGAAAAGAAUUAAUUCUCUUUGUGGUCUAUUUCUAUGGAAAGGAAGGCUCGAUGCUCAUCACUCGGCUAAGGUUUCAUGGGAAGUGGUGACAAAAGAAAAAACUUGUGGUGGACUCGGUGUUAAGGACCUCCUAACAUGGAACAAGGCGUGCUGUAUAAAACUGAUUUGGUUGUUGUUCUUUCAGGCGGGAUCAAUCUGGGUUGGUUGGUUCAAAACAGAAGUACUAAAGGGAUCACUUUCUAAUUUCUGGACUAAGAAACCUUCAACAACAAACUCGUGGCUAGUGAACAAGCUAUUCAAGCUCAGAGACGAAGUAUUUACUUGGAUAAAGAUGGAAGUAGGCAAUGGAGAAGCUUGUCGGUUCUGGUCUGAUAACUGGUCGCCGUUUGGAAAAUUGUCUAAGUACUUGCUUUCAGACGCUCCAUCAGGUAUGGGAAUUAGUUUGAGGACUACUGUUGCGGACCUUUAUGUGGAAGGAAACUGGAGACUUCCCCCUCCUCGUUCAGAGAAAAUGGUGCAGCUGCAUAUAUUUUUCACAACUUCGCGGAGGAUCGUUACGAAUGGGCAGUGAAUGGUAAGUCAUCAUUGAGAUACAGUACUGGUGAGAUUUAAUUAUCGGAAGCUAAGGGAGGAGGAAGAGACUGUACCUUGGGCGUCUAUUGUUUGGAUAGGGAGAGGCAUUCCACGGCAUAAUUUUCUGACUUGGCUGUUUGUACUAAAUAGAUGUCCAACUCGGGACCGUCUCAUUGGAUGGGGAUUACAAACUGAUGCGGCGUGUCUUCUCUGUAAUCAGAACGCUGAAUCGAGAGACCACUUGUUCUUCUUAUGCCCUUACAGCUGGACAAUUUGGGUAGAGAUCUCCAGAAGAUGUUGCCUGCAACCGAUUCAAAAUUGGGUUCAAAUUUUGGUUAACCUGCAGGCUCUUCAAGGCAAUAAGACUAGGAAAAAACUUACACUGUUAUGUUGGCAAUCCUCCCUUUACUGGAUUUGGCAGGAGAAAAACAAACGAUUGCAUAACAAUCAGUUUCGCCCAACAGAUGCCAUCAUCAGACCGAUCACUCGCCAAAUCACAGACCGAAUCAGCAGUUACCGAUUCAACUCUCCCUCCGCUUCAUCUCGCUACAUGCAUAUGUGACUCUCUACGACAUAACUGAGGAAUAGGGAAAGUCGUAUUCAACUUGGGCUCUCUUGGGCCAGAUCUGAUCUUUUAAUUAUGGGAUAAAUGGGUUUAAUUGGGUACUUACUAUGGUGGG